RNAcentral lists this ribosomal RNA (253 nucleotides) under uncultured bacterium. RNAcentral's name for it is "partial 16S ribosomal RNA". It matches the Rfam family "Bacterial small subunit ribosomal RNA", at positions 524 to 776 of the family's 1533-position model. The record is from RNAcentral.
UACGGGGGGGGCAAGCGUUGUUCGGAAUUACUGGGCGUAAGGGGCUCGUAGGUUGCCAACUAAGUCGGACGUGAAAUCCCUCGGCUUAACCGGGGAACUGCGUCCGAUACUGGAUGGCUUGAGUUUGGGAGAGGGAUGCGGAAUUCCAGGUGUAGCGGUGAAAUGCGUAGAUAUCUGGAGGAACACCGAUGGCGAAGGCAGGUCUCUGGGCUGACACUGACGCUCAUGCACGAAAGCGUGGGGAGCAAACAGG